GCCAUCUUGCUAUUUCUUGCAGAGAAGCCCUAUUUUCGUGUUCGUCAAAGCUUCAGAAACCCUAACAGAGCAAUCGAAUAGCUCUUCUUCGAUUCUUCCCGCAUCCAGUGUUGAUUCGUCCCUCCACCACCACGGAAAAGGGUUCAGGUGCUGAUCCCCGCCACUACACUGCCGGAGGAAACAACAACAAGACAGAUGAAGCUCGCGGACCUCCCUUGAGCCGAAGCAGAUAGGCUUGAACUCUCCUUCGAUUCCACCCAUUCUUGGUCCAUUGAUUGACUGCUCGUUAGUUAUUUCCACCCAUUUGACUGAUUGGCGAUGUUUCUUUCUGCAGAAGAAGCAGAUCGUCGACCCGAACUCCGAAAAAUUCAAAUUUAGGGCUUUGUCGAUUGAUUCCUCUACUCGAAUCGAGAAAGUCUCCGAGCUUGAGAUCACUGUUCGGGAAGCGGUUGCUGUGGCGGAGGAUCCUGUUCGCAUCCAGGAAAGGGAAGCAUCAUUCUACUCAACCUCCUAAUAGUCAUUUACGGCAAGAAUCGCAACAUCUCUUUUUCAUUCCAUGCUGAAAAUUACUUGAACAUCAAGGGGUUGUUGGAUCUGACUUGCCAAACAGUGGCGGAUAUGAUCGAGGGCAAAACACCGGAGGAGAUAAGGAAGACAUUCAACAUCAAGAACGACUUCACGCCUGAGGAAGAGGAAGAGGUUCGGAGGGAGAACCAGUGGGCCUUUGAAUGAUUUCUGCAUGGAGCUAAUACACACGGAGUUCUCCCUUGGUUAGGGCUUAAUGAGAGAUUAUAGCGAACGCUGUAUGAACUAUCGAUUGUCCUUCUGGUUCUUAGGAUAUCUAUCUUUAUGUUGUUCUGACGCACUUGUUGAUGCUGCACUUGUGACUAUGUCCUUGUAUAUUCUGAGAUGAUGGUUAUAUUGCAUCUGUUAUUGCUUUUCU
Non-coding RNA from Punica granatum (pomegranate), 943 nucleotides. NCBI's taxonomy places the organism in Eukaryota, Viridiplantae, Streptophyta, Magnoliopsida, Myrtales, Lythraceae. The record is from RefSeq and is a predicted model, not a curated record.